Molecule: ribosomal RNA, 301 nt
Filed under: uncultured bacterium
Lineage: Bacteria
Description: partial 16S ribosomal RNA
Rfam family: Bacterial small subunit ribosomal RNA
Source: RNAcentral
CAGCAGCCGCGGUAAUACGUAGGUGGCAAGCGUUGUCCGGAAUUAUUGGGCGUAAAGGGCUCGCAGGCGGUUUCUUAAGUCUGAUGUGAAAGCCCCCGGCUCAACCGGGGAGGGUCAUUGGAAACUGGGAAACUUGGGUGCAGAAGAGGAGAGUGGAAUUCCACGUGUAGCGGUGAAAUGCGUAGAGAUGUGGAGGAACACCAGUGGCGAAGGCGACUCUCUGGUCUGUAACUGACGCUGAGGAGCGAAAGCGUGGGGAGCGAACAGGAUUAGAUACCCCGGUAGUCCCUGUCUCUUAUAC